ACUUUACCCGAGUUUCCCCCAAUCUCCCUCAUUUCCCUCUUUUCCCUUCUCCCCUCCCGAUCUUCCUCUCUCUGUCGCAGCCCUAGCCCCUCUUUGUCGCCGUUCGUCACAACCCCUUGCCCCUCGCCAUUCGCAGAUCAUCGCAGCCCCUCACCCUUCAAAACGCAGUUCCAACGGCGCAGAACCCAUCACCACCCCGCAAAGCUCUCGAUCCCCCAAACCCUCCCAAACUCCCUCACUUCCAUGAGAAGCUCUGACACCUUCGACGCCGCCUACAACGGCCUCAACCGUUCAUCCACCACCGCAGCCUCCAUCUCCACUAGAACCUCUCUCUCCAGCCUCCGCAGCUCCUUGCCCCAACCACCGCUCAUCUUCGAUUUCUUCGAGAUUUGCUCUACCACCAACAACUUGCUAGGUUUGGGUAAUGUUCUAUUUACAGACGACAUGUUGCCGAAAAUUUGUUAAUUUUUUUCCAAAAUAAUCAAAGUUAUUUACCCUAUUUGUGAGAAUGAUUAUAAUGUGCUGAAUGUUAAAACAUUUUUUAAAGUAUACGUAAAGUUUAAAUAAAUUUUGAACUUCAUCUCUAAA
Molecule: long non-coding RNA, 588 nt
Organism: Malania oleifera
Lineage: Eukaryota; Viridiplantae; Streptophyta; Magnoliopsida; Santalales; Ximeniaceae
Exons: 2
Source: RefSeq, a predicted model, not a curated record